Podarcis lilfordi (Lilford's wall lizard) is the source of this 74-nucleotide non-coding RNA. Lineage: Eukaryota; Metazoa; Chordata; Lepidosauria; Squamata; Lacertidae. The record is from the annotation of a GenBank genome assembly.
GCUUGGAUAGCUCAGCUGGUUAGAGCGUGGUGCUGAUAAUGCCAAGGAUGCAAGUUCGAUCCCUGUUUGGGACA